UACGGGGGGGGCAAGCGUUGUUCGGAAUUACUGGGCGUAAAGGGCUCGUAGGCGGCCAACUAAGUCAGACGUGAAAUCCCUCGGCUUAACCGGGGAACUGCGUCUGAUACUGGAUGGCUUGAGGUUGGGAGAGGGAUGCGGAAUUCCCAGUGUAGAGGUGAAAUUCGUAGAUAUUGGGAAGAACACCGGUGGCGAAGGCGGCGACCUGGUCCAUUACUGACGCUGAGGCGCGACAGCGUGGGGAGCAAACAGG
RNAcentral lists this ribosomal RNA (253 nucleotides) under uncultured bacterium. RNAcentral's name for it is "partial 16S ribosomal RNA". It matches the Rfam family "Bacterial small subunit ribosomal RNA", at positions 524 to 776 of the family's 1533-position model. The record is from RNAcentral.